CGGGGCAGCCGGGACGGAGCCGGGCACGCCGGUGGCACGGGUCCAGCGGGGCCAUGUGCGCCGGGCAGCGCCGUGCCAAGAGCGGGGCUGGGCAGGAGGAAACCCACGGUGGGAACGUGGACCCCCAGGGAUGCAGCACCGACCCUCUCCCGGCUUCUCCUCAGGGAUGCUCGGACCGAAAACACGCGAGCAGAGGGAUGAGAAGGAGCAGGAAGGAUUCGGGCAGGUCCCCCCGGGGCAGGCCAGGCCAUUCCCGAAUGUCCCGAAGUCGAUCCAAGCGCCCGGGCUCCAGCUGGGCUCCCGCCGGGGACGGUAAUCCCGGUAAUCCCGGUAAUGCCGUGAUUUACGGCUCUUGGUCCCCGCUCCUCCGGGGCUCCAGCCUUGUCCCGGUUUUUCUCACCCACUUGCUCAAGGGGUUGCCCGAGGCAAAGCCGAGACAGAGUUUUCACCCCAAAACACGGGAAAGGAGAAGUUCGCCGGGAUGCCCGGGGUGAUGUGGAGGGGAUUGCCCCGGCCCUGGGUCCGUCCUGGUGAGGAGGAGCAGGAAUUCCCCCCAGGCCCCCUCCCCAUUUCGCUGCUUUUCCCUUCCCACAGCAUCCGCCUUGGAAGGAAAUCCCACGUGUGGCUCACAGGGAAACCUCCGGUUUAUCUCCAGGGCUUCAUCCCACGCGGAUUUGGGCACCACGGGUGGGACAUCGCCCAUCCCUCGGCAGCUGGGCAGGGAUGAAUUUCCUUCCUGGAGCACCUUCCCACCUGAAUUCCCAGAGCCCCAAACCUGCUGUGAUCCUCUCCCAGGGAUUUUAUCAAUUUGAGGUGAUUGCAACCCUCCAGCCCCCCAAAUCCAGGGAAGAAAGGAGAGGGAGCAUCACCCCAGGAGGACACAAGGGCAGAACCACCACGCCAUUCCCUCCCCUCCGGACAUCCCCAUGUCCACAUCAGGCACCAGCCCAGCCUGCAGCCCCCUCCAGCAUCCCCAGAGUGCCAAACAUGCUGAUCCAGAGGCAAAACGGAGCCUUUGGCAUGUCCGGGUGCAGGAAGAGGCCCCGACCUCUCCGGUGACAUUGAGCAAGACCCGGCAGCAACCCCGAAAUCCCAAAGUUCUGCUUUCGCAGUGGAUUUUCUGCCAGCCCCGUGUCCAGGAGUGACUCACUCCAAGAGCAUCAAAGGUUGUUGGAGCCGGAUGUUGUCCCCCAAAGGCGCCAGCAGUGGAAGCCAGAGAUUUACAGCCCAGCAAGGGCCAUAAAAGAGGGAUUUUGGGAGCAGUGGUUUGAUCCUGAGCGAGAGAUGAUGAAACGUCCCAGCGUGUCCUCAUCAUCCUGCGAGGAGUGGUUGUGCAGCCUCUGCAUCCCACGUUUCCUCGGCUCUUCCCGGACACGUUGAGCAGUGGCAGGUCGGGUUGAUCCGUGCCUUUCCCCAGCAGGAUGAAGGUUCCUCUCCAGUUCACACACCCCAUGUGGGUCCCUCAUCUCGGCACAGCUCUCCCAGCACGGAUCUGGAGCAGGGAAUUGCUGCUCCCAGGGGAGGAGAGGCUGGGAUGGGCUGAGGGCGAGGAGGAUCGAGCUCUGGCCAGUCCAGGAGAAGCUCCAGUUGUGCGCUGCUGAGCCUGGAAAGGUCUGGAAGUGCCCAAGGCCAGCUUGGAUGGGGUUUGGAGCAUCCUGGGACAGUGGAAGGUGUCCCUGGCCAAGGCAAGGGUGGGACUGGAUGGGCUUUAAGGUCCCUUCCAACAAAAUCAUUCCGUGAUUCCAAACAAAUGAUGCUUUUCCCUUCUCCAGAUGCUGGUGGGGAACACGGUAAGGACACAGAGCAAGGGGCUCCAGAGGGCUUCAACUUCCCAAAACGCAGGAAAUUCCCCGCAGCCGCCCGAACCGGCAGAAACUUUGGGGUUUUUUGUAGAGUUCCUUAUCACAAGUGGCAAGAGGGGAAGCGCUAUCAGUUCCUCACAGCUGUUGAGCAAAGGAUCCCCAAAAAAGUGCUCAGAGACCUCUGGGGAUUGGUGGCAUCGCCACCUGGGACUGACAGAGCGGGAUCAGGUCCUUCCCACAUCCUGCAGGACCUCGGUGCUCCCCAGAACCACUCAGGCUGAGCAGGUUGGAUGCUGUGGGGAGGAUAUUCCCUGGAAAAAGAGCAGCUGAGCAGGUUGGACGCUGUGGGGAGGAUAUUCCCUGGAAAAAGAGCAGCUCGGCUUUCCCGGGGUGUGUUUCCCAGCAAAGGAUAAGCAGGGAAGCACACGAAGCUCCGAGCAGCCCGUGGGGCUCGGCUUCCAGGGAAGUUGGAGGCUCCAGGAAUUAUUUGGGAUGAGAAAGCCCAGUGGGGUUUGCUCCAUCUCAUUUUGGGUCUGGAAAGGGGCACGGAGGGAUGGGGGACGGGGCUCUCCCUCUGCUGCCGGCGUGGGAUGUUUGGGCAGCCACAUCCCGCCGUGGUGACGGAUCAGCAGAGUGGGCGCUGAGGUGACCUUUGGAUGUUUCCAAAUCGAAGCCAACCACCACGGGUCAGGCAAGCAAAAAGCAGCUUUUGCCCCGGCACAGCAGGAAUCGCAUUUUUUUCUCCCUUUGCUGCGAGUUUACGGCAUCUCCCAAAAACGAGACUUCUGCUCCACUUGGACAAAGACUUCCCUGCCCGGCUGCACCCGCGGUCAACGAUUAACUCGGGUUCCCACCCCCCCCCCAGGCCGGGAAGGGCAGGAAAUGCCUCUGGCCCGACCACCAAAAAUGGAAAUCUGCCUUGGGAGCUCCUCACUCACGCCACCAUCACCUUCCUGGAUCCUUCCCAAGGGGAUUCUUUCCUGGAUGGGCUCCCCAGAUGGGGAUUUCCAGGUAGGGGCUGUGCUCUGCCCAGGAGGAUUUUCAGUUUACAGAUGUGAAAUGGAAUCCCUUGAGAGCAUCAUUGGGGUUUGACUCCCUGACCCUUGUGGGUCCCUUCCAGUUUAGGAUAUCCAGGGUGAGGAUGUUCAGGGAACAAGCUCAGCCUGGGCAGGAUUGGUGCCGUGCUUGUUGAGAAGCAGCUUUAAAAAGCAUCUCCCUGCUCAAUCUCACCCUUCCAAAGUGCCAAAAGAGCCCUUUCCAUCCAUUUUUUGGUGCAGAUCCAGGAGGAAAUCCCAGGCCGAGGCUUUUGGGAGCGUGGUGAUCUUUGGAAUGGUGAUGCUGAGCCCAGGGAGCCAGAUCAGCUCAAAUCCUUCCUCCAAAAAGUUUUCCAACACUGAGCAGGGGGGAAAAAAACAGAUGGAAGGAACCAAAUCCAACCUGGGCACAUCCCAGAGCAGAAUCUCUUUUACCAAGGAAACCUUUAGGACACACUGAAAGGGAAGGAUAACCUAGAAAGUUCCUUAAAACUGUAGUGUGGAUGUUUUAAAUGCUGGCAAAAAUAGCUGAAGGGAACCAAAUCCAACCUGGGCACAUCCCAGAGCAGCACCCUUUGUAUCAAGAAGAGAAAGACAACCUCAAAACUGCCUUAAAACCCCAGGAUUUUGAGAGCCUGGAUGCUUUUUGAAGCACAAAGCGCAGUUUUGGACGAGGAACAAGCAUGGAAGCUGCUGGAGAAUUUGGGGAAGUCUCUGCCAGUCCGACCUCCAGGAGAAAUAAAUGUAUUUAUUUGCGAACCUGGACACAGAUAAGGCUCCACGUGCCCAUCAGCAGGGAAUUAGUCAGCGGAGCGUGACUCGGGAAAGGGUUGUGUACACAGGAGCAUCCAGGGCAGCAGCGGGGGAGAGGCAGCACCGAGGGCUGAGGGAUUUUCCCCCAGGUUGGAGCCAGAACGGCCAAGGAAAUCCCACCUGCAGCAGAGAACAUCCACCUGCACCUCCUGGAUCAGCGGUUCACAUCCUCAGGUACAAAGUCCAGUCUGGCAGUACGAGCUGGGAGCGCGUCGCUGGUCCCCGACCCCACAGCCCCUCUGGGAUUGUUGGGAUUUACAAGGCACUGCAAGAACACACAGACAACAGGAACCCCAAGGGGGUGGCACUGGUGCUCCAAGAGUCCUGACAAGCACGAGGUGACACCUGAGAUGGUCACACAGACACCGGGUGGCUUCACAAGGGACACACGGAGGACCCGAGGGCCGGGAAAGGGUCAGGACAAAACCUCACUCCAAGAGGAGCCAGAAAAACCAUCAGGAAUUGGGUUAACCCAACCAAAAGUGAGAAUGGAACAACAAAACCCUCAGGAAUUGGGUUAACCCAACCAAAAGUGAGAAUGGAACAGCAAAACCCUCAGGAAUUGGGUUAACCCAACCCAAAGUGAGGAUGGAACAACAAAACCCUCAGGAAUUGGGUUAACCCAACUCAAAGUGAGGAUGGAACAACAAAACCCUCAGGAAUUGGGUUAACCCAACCAAAAGUGAGAAUGGAACAGCAAAACUCUCAGGAAUUGGGUUAAUCCAACCAAAAGUGGGAAUGGAACAACAAAACCCUCAGGAAUUGGGUUAACCCAACCCAAAGUGAGGUCGGCAGAGCAGAUUCUGUUGUGCCUCGGGCAGGUCCCCGUGUGUGUGUGUGUGUGUGUGUGUGUGUGUGUGUGUGUGUGUGUGAGCACACCUGGGGAACUCGGUGCACUCUCUGAGGAGCACCCACGGACAAUCAUGGGGAUUCCCACCAAUUCAGGGGUUUCCAGCCCAAUUUUUCCACCCGCACACGGGGCAAACCCAUCCCCAUCACCACCACUCUGCCUCCCAAACGUGAGCCCAGAACAGGACAAGGCACUCCCUGAUCAUCAAAGUAAACAUUUGUGAUUUAAGAGGCUGGUGCAAUCGGAAAGCUGAAGGUGGAUUUUGAAGUACCGCGGAGUUUUCUGUAAGGGCAGUGAUAGUUUCAUUUCCCAUCAUCAAUUCCUAUCUGUGGGGAGGCAUUUCCUUCCCUACUUCGUCUUAAAAUAGACUGAGCAGAAGCAGGUCCCAGGUUUCAAUGAACACCUCGAAGAAUUAACAACGCCCUCAGCUCUGGAGUUUUGGCAGAAUUUCCCUUUCAGCACAUAAGACACUCAUCAGACAGGAAUACAUUUUUUUUAUGAAAAAGUGCACUUUAUACUGCAAAAAAAUUAGGGAUUCUGGUGCAAAAAUAAGGAAUUCAUCUAGAUCAAGAUGAGUAUUUAUGGUAUCAACAAGGGGGGGGGGGGUUCGCCAAGUCAAUAAAUUUAGAAAGAGCCUUUGCAACUCUGAAAUUCCUAUUGUUAAAAUAAAAUUAAAUUGUUAAAAUAUUAUUGAUAAAGGAUUAAAGUAAAAGGGGGUAAGAGGGAGGAAGUUACUUUGGGAAAGGAUCUGUACAAACUCAUUGCCGACAAUUUCCUCUGCGCUGUGGGGUGAAAUCUGAAAAUCGGAAUGAAAAAAGAAAAGCC
Non-coding RNA from Taeniopygia guttata (zebra finch), 5324 nucleotides. The record is from RefSeq and is a predicted model, not a curated record. NCBI's taxonomy places the organism in Eukaryota, Metazoa, Chordata, Aves, Passeriformes, Estrildidae.